This 154-nucleotide long non-coding RNA is filed under the name Neodiprion pinetum (white pine sawfly). RNAcentral describes it as "uncharacterized LOC124217909". The record is from RNAcentral. Lineage: Eukaryota; Metazoa; Arthropoda; Insecta; Hymenoptera; Diprionidae.
CCUCAAAAAGAUAUUUGCCCUCAAGGUAAGACGUAUCCUAAAAAUGCAGCUGCUAUAGUUAAUAAUAACAUUAUUGUUCCUGUCAUUCAAGUUGGUUUAAAGUUGAAUGAUCCAAAAAAUAUUCCUCGUCCGAUAUCCAGUCACUCCGUAGAAU